AUUGAACGCUGGCGGCAGGCCUAACACAUGCAAGUCGAGCGGAUGAAGGGAGCCUGCUCCUGGAUUCAGCGGCGGACGGGUGAGUAAUGCCUAGGAAUCUGCCUGGUAGUGGGGGAUAACGUCCGGAAACGGGCGCUAAUACCGCAUACGUCCUGAGGGAGAAAGUGGGGGAUCUUCGGACCUCACGCUAUCAGAUGAGCCUAGGUCGGAUAGCUAGUUGGUGGGGUAAAGGCCUACCAAGGCGACGAUCCGUAACUGGUCUGAGAGGAUGAUCAGUCACACUGGAACUGAGACACGGUCCAGACUCCUACGGGAGGCAGCAGUGGGGAAUAUUGGACAAUGGGCGAAAGCCUGAUCCAGCCAUGCCGCGUGUGUGAAGAAGGUCUUCGGAUUGUAAAGCACUUUAAGUUGGGAGGAAGGGCAGUAAGUUAAUACCUUGCUGUUUUGACGUUACCAACAGAAUAAGCACCGGCUAACUUCGUG
This 483-nucleotide ribosomal RNA is filed under the name uncultured bacterium. RNAcentral's name for it is "partial 16S ribosomal RNA". It matches the Rfam family "Bacterial small subunit ribosomal RNA", at positions 30 to 507 of the family's 1533-position model. The record is from RNAcentral.